CCUACGGGUGGCAGCAGUGGGGGAUAUUGCACAAUGGGGGAAACCCUGAUGCAGCGACGCCGCGGGAGUGAAGAAGUAUUUCGGGAUGUAAAGCUCUAUCAGCAGGGAAGAAAAUGACAGUACCUGACCAAGAAGCCCCGGCUAACUACGUGCCAGCAGCCGCGGUAAUACGUAGGGGGCAAGCGUUAUCCGGAUUUACUGGGUGUAAAGGGAGCGUAGACGGUUAGGUAAGUCUGGAGUGAAAGCCCGGGGCCCAACCCCGGGACUGCUUUGGAAACUGUGGAACUGGAGUACAGGAGGGGCAGGCGGAAUUCCUGGUGUAGCGGUGAUAUGCGUAGUUAUCGCGCAGAACUCCGAUUGCGAAGGCAGCGUACCGGCGCCAGACUGACGCUGCGGCACGAAAGCGUGGGGAUCGAACAGGAUUAGAUACCCGAGUAGUC
This 440-nucleotide ribosomal RNA is filed under the name uncultured bacterium. Its description in RNAcentral is "partial 16S ribosomal RNA". It matches the Rfam family "Bacterial small subunit ribosomal RNA", at positions 338 to 795 of the family's 1533-position model. The record is from RNAcentral.